GAUGGUAGUGUAUUGGACUACCAUGGCUCUCACGGGUAACGGAGAAUUAGGGUUCGAUUCCGGAGAAGGAGCCUGAGAAACGGCUACUACAUCUAAGGAAGGCAGCAGGCGCGUAAAUUACCCAAUCCUGACUCAGGGAGGUAGUGACAAGAUAUAACAACGCGAAUAAAUUCGUGAUUGUAGUGAGGGUAUUCUAAACCGAACUUCGAGUACGAUUAGAGGGCAAGUCUGGUGCCAGCAGCCGCGGUAAUA
RNAcentral lists this ribosomal RNA (252 nucleotides) under uncultured eukaryote. RNAcentral describes it as "partial 18S rRNA". It matches the Rfam family "Eukaryotic small subunit ribosomal RNA", at positions 324 to 584 of the family's 1831-position model. The record is from RNAcentral.